This 288-nucleotide ribosomal RNA is filed under the name Chaetoceros dichaeta. RNAcentral's name for it is "partial Bacterial large subunit ribosomal RNA". It matches the Rfam family "Bacterial large subunit ribosomal RNA", at positions 181 to 513 of the family's 2925-position model. Lineage: Eukaryota; Bacillariophyta; Thalassiosirophyceae; Chaetocerotales; Chaetocerotaceae. The record is from RNAcentral.
AAAUUUAGCGAACUGAACCAUCUAAGUAGCUAAAAUAUAAAUCAACCGAGAGACCGUAAGUAGUGGCGAACGAAACCGGUUAAAGACAUUUUUUGAAUUUAUUUAUUUAAUUUUACCAGCCAAAGAAGGAAACAUAUACGUUAAGUAACAUGUAGCCCUGUAAAAUGAAAAAGUUCGAAACGAUUUAAGUAAAAUUGCACAAGUGACGUGCUGUUUGAAUAGCGGGGUCCCAUCCUCGAGUCUAAAAUUUUUGAUGAUUGAUAGUGUAUAUAGUACCGUGAGGGAAAG